This 77-nucleotide transfer RNA is filed under the name Loropetalum chinense. RNAcentral's name for it is "tRNA-Ile". RNAcentral also lists the same sequence under 2 other names. Lineage: Eukaryota; Viridiplantae; Streptophyta; Magnoliopsida; Saxifragales; Hamamelidaceae. The record is from RNAcentral.
GGGCUAUUAGCUCAGUGGUAGAGCGCGCCCCUGAUAAUUGCGAUCUAUUGAUUCUCUCCCGGACCGUAGGUGCGAUG